UAGAGGGAGGUGGAAAUUCCAGGUGUAGCGGUGGAAUGCGCAGAUAUCUGGAGGAACACCAGUGGCGAAAGCGGCCUCCUGGACCAUUCCUGACACUCAGACGCGAAAGCUAGGGUAGCAAACGGGAUUAGAGACCCCGGUAGUCCUAGCCCUAAACGAUGUAGACUAGACGUCGGCGGUGUAAUAGCUGUCGGUGUCCAAGCUAACGCGAUAAGUCUACCGCCUGGGGACUACGGCCGCAAGGUUAAAACUCAAAGGAAUUGACGGGUCCCCGCACAAGCAGCGGAGCGUGUGGUUUAAUUCGUUGCUACACGAAGAACCUUACCUGGGUUUGACAUAGCAGUGGUAGGGAAGAGAAAUCGGACCGACCCUUCGGGGAGCUGUUACAGGUGUUGCAUGGCUGUCGUCAGCUCGUGUCGUGAGAUGUUCGGUUAAGUCCGCUAACGAGCGCAACCCGCGUUGUGUGUUAUAUGUGUCACACAAUACCGCCGGUAUUAAGCCGGAGGAAGGUGCGGAUGACGUCAAGUCAGCAUGACCUUUAUAUCCAGGGCUACACACACGCUACAAUGGACAGUACAACAGGUUGCCAAGCCGCGAGGCGGAGCCAAUCCUCUAAAGCUGUCCUCAGUUCAGAUUGCAGGCUGCAACUCGCCUGCAUGAAGUUGGAGUUGCUAGUAACCGCAGGUCAGCUAUACUGCGGUGAAUACGUUCCCGGGGAUUGUACACACCGCCCGUAAGGGCG
RNAcentral lists this ribosomal RNA (742 nucleotides) under uncultured bacterium. RNAcentral's name for it is "bacterial SSU rRNA". It matches the Rfam family "Bacterial small subunit ribosomal RNA", at positions 652 to 1404 of the family's 1533-position model. The record is from RNAcentral.